AUUUGUUGAGUAAGAUAAUAUGUAAAUAAUAACAGAUUUCAAUUCUCCCAUAUCAGUGAUGUGGUAUCUGAGCAUAGAUAAUUUUCUCUUAUUUUCUAUUAUCGAAUUGCUAUGAUUCGUUUUGGAUGAUCUGGUGCCGUCGUCGAUUCCAUCCUUCGCUACAUCUUCCGAGUUGCCGCACUUGCUCCACCAUUGGUUCAUCUAUCAUCAAUUCCUCCAUUUUCGCAAGUACAAUCGGAGAUGUCAGGUCAAAAAUUCUUCCAAUUUUGAAUCGCAAUUGAACCCAUUUCUUUUUCAUCACUCUUUCGGUCUUGCUACUAUCCUUGUUACUCAGCAACUAUCAGGAGCCAAUAACUACACUUCUUGGAAUCGUGCAAUGCUAAUUGCCCUUUCGACCAAAAAUAAAAUAGGAAUCAAUCAUGGAACUAUCAAGAAACCAAGUGUUGAUAUGCUACAUGCCUGGAAAUGGAACAAUGAUGUGGUAAUUUCUUGGAUAAUGAAUUCAGUUUCCAAAGAGAUAGCAGCUAGUCUCAUUUACUCAUAUUCGGCACAAGACAUAUAGGAGGAACUUAAGGAUCGCUUUCAACAAAGUAAUGGACCGGGGAUUUAUCAACUUCGGAAGGAAUUUGUGACGAUUACUCAAGGAAUCUCAUUUGUAGAGGUUUAUUAUACUAAACUUAAAAUAGUUUGGCAAGAAUUAUGUGAAUAUCGCCCUCCCAGAACCUGUACUUACGGAGGACUAAAGCAAAUCUUUGAUUACUUCAAUUCAGAGUACAUAAUGGUGUUCCUGAUAGGGCUAAAUGAGUCUUAUGCUAGAGUCAAAGCACAAAUUCUUUUAAUGGAACCUAUUCCACCAAUUAAUAAGGUUUUUUCUCUUAUAAUUCAAGAAGAACACCAACGAUCGAUUUCCACUCCAGAUUCAAUCGCUUUGGUUGCUGCUAUCGAGACUUCUAAACGGCCUGUGAAUGAUCGUUUUGCAAAAGAGUAUAUCAACGUCCUCAUUGUACUCAAUGUGGUCUUAAAGGACAUACAAUCGAGCAUUGCUACAAGCUUCAUGGGUAUCCACCAGGCUAUAAACGACGGAAUUCAUUCAACACAUCAGGAUAUCCUUCAAACUCAAGUAUUGUUUCUCCUGCUAAAAAAUUGGCCUCCUCUUCAGCCACAACAACCACUGUUUCUUCAAAUCAACCAGCUUUCUUUGCUAGUUUGAAUCCCAACCAAUAUGCACAACUAAUGGACAUGCUCAAUACUCACCUAUCAGGACCAAAAUCUUAGCCUAUCUCUACGAAUCCUGUGACUCACGUAGCAGUUCUUGUGUUAUCCAGGACAAAUCACUUUCAAGGACGAUUGGGAAGGCUAGUUAUUUGAACGACUUAUACUUGUUCUCUCGGUCAGCUUGCACCAAUGUUACUGCUGCAUUUCUUUGUAAAGCUUCCAUAAAUACUUGGCACAAUCGUUUAGGACAUUUAUCUCCUACACGUCUAGCUCUUUUAAAAAAUGUUUUAGAUUUGCCUGAUCGAUGUACUGAUUCUCCUUGUUCAGUUUGUCCCUUAGCUAAACAAUGUCAUCUGUCUUUUGUUACAAACAAUAAUGUGGCUGAUUCUGUUUUUUACUUAGUCCACUGUGAUGUUUGGGGUCCGUUUCAUACUUCAACAUAUAAUGGUUACUCAUAUUUCUUACCAUUGUUGACGAUUGUUCUCGUUAUACCUUGUUAUAUUUGAUGAAGUAUAAAUCUGAUGUGUUGCAUAUCA
This is a non-coding RNA of Momordica charantia (bitter melon), 1751 nucleotides long. NCBI's taxonomy places the organism in Eukaryota, Viridiplantae, Streptophyta, Magnoliopsida, Cucurbitales, Cucurbitaceae. The record is from RefSeq and is a predicted model, not a curated record.